This 212-nucleotide unclassified non-coding RNA is filed under the name Hevea brasiliensis (rubber tree). Lineage: Eukaryota; Viridiplantae; Streptophyta; Magnoliopsida; Malpighiales; Euphorbiaceae. The record is from RNAcentral.
AAAGUGUACCCCGAGGAAACAAAUUCGAUACAUCCUAGGAGGGCUGCUUCGUUUCCACUGGAGUCGAUCAGUCCACCGGAGGUUGUAAAGGGACCUGCUCGUGCGGCUUCCUUGCAGCCUGAUAUAUUGAGCCCCGGUGGAGGGAAUGUGCAUCCGAGACUACCGGAUUACGAUGAGUUGGCUGCACGGUUCAUGGCAUUGAAGAAAGCUUG